GGGGCGUUGGCGCAACGGUAGCGCGUCAGAUUCCAGUCCUGAAGGUUGCGUGUUCGAAUCACGCACGCCUCA
This 72-nucleotide transfer RNA is filed under the name Aureococcus anophagefferens. It matches the Rfam family "tRNA". Rfam says of the family: Transfer RNA (tRNA) molecules are approximately 80 nucleotides in length. Their secondary structure includes four short double-helical elements and three loops (D, anti-codon, and T loops). The record is from Rfam by way of RNAcentral. Lineage: Eukaryota; Pelagophyceae; Pelagomonadales; Pelagomonadaceae.